This 215-nucleotide long non-coding RNA is filed under the name Elaeis guineensis (African oil palm). Its description in RNAcentral is "long non-coding RNA (EGUI_LNC082829)". Lineage: Eukaryota; Viridiplantae; Streptophyta; Magnoliopsida; Arecales; Arecaceae. The record is from RNAcentral.
CCGACGGUGACUACCGACUUUGGAAAAUCAAAACUAAGGGGCGGAACAACCAAAUCGAAGCAGAGGAGGGGUUUUUAAACCAAUUCUCGAUGAUUCUUGAUGGAAUCCAACCGACGAUGGCUUGCUAGAGAUAGGAGAAGACCUUAAAAAGAAAAUUAAAUAACAAAAAGGAAUCCAUACCUCAUCUCUGGAGAGGAUAUAAGGCCGACACGAAG